CCCGUGUCUAUCGUACCUUGUUGCUUCGGCGGGCCCGCCGUUUCGACGGCCGCCGGGGAGGCCUCGCGCCCCCGGGCCCGCGCCCGCCGAAGACCCCAACAUGAACGCUGUUCUGAAAGUAUGCAGUCUGAGUUGAUUAUCAUAAUCAGUUAAAACUUUCAACAACGGAUCUCUUGGUUCCGGCAUCGAUGAAGAACGCAGCGAAAUGCGAUAAGUAAUGUGAAUUGCAGAAUUCAGUGAAUCAUCGAGUCUUUGAACGCACAUUGCGCCCCCUGGUAUUCCGGGGGGCAUGCCUGUCCGAGCGUCAUUGCUGCCCUCAAGCACGGCUUGUGUGUUGGGCCCCGUCCCCUCCCCCGGGGACGGGCCCGAAAGGCAGCGGCGGCACCGCGUCCGGUCCUCGAGCGUAUGGGGCUUUGUCACCCGCUCUGUAGGCCCGGCCGGCGCCAGCCGACACCCAACUUUAUUUUCUAAGGUUGACCUCGGAUCAGGUAGGGAUACCCGCUGAACUUAAGCAUAUCA
RNAcentral lists this ribosomal RNA (519 nucleotides) under uncultured fungus. RNAcentral's name for it is "eukaryotic LSU rRNA". The stretch from base 154 to 307 matches the Rfam family "5.8S ribosomal RNA". Lineage: Eukaryota; Fungi. The record is from RNAcentral.